AGAACGCCCGGAUGCUCUGAGGUCCCAGCUGAAUUUGGGCACUUGAGCUGAUACCAAGCCACCAGUGCAACCUGCCGUGCGUUGC
RNAcentral lists this non-coding RNA (85 nucleotides) under unclassified sequences. Its description in RNAcentral is "c-di-GMP-II-AAU riboswitch". It matches the Rfam family "Cyclic di-GMP-II riboswitch aptamer". The record is from RNAcentral.